UUUUAAUUAGUGACUAGAAGCAAGAGUUGGCAGACAUGCAGAAUUGCUGUCACAUUAUGAUUUCCAAUUUUAAAAUCACUGAGUAAAACAAAGCAGAGAAGGUGUAAAGAACAUAUAAAACAUGUUGUAACUGGUUAGAUGAAACCUGUAAUUUGUAGAAGGCCCCAGGUAAUAAAGACGAGCAGACGAUAGACAGGCAGCAGCUCUAUAUUCCUGGGUUAAAAUAAUACCACAAUUCAAUGGGGGGGGAGGGGUGUCCAAAG
Molecule: non-coding RNA, 263 nt
Organism: Pelobates cultripes (western spadefoot toad)
Lineage: Eukaryota; Metazoa; Chordata; Amphibia; Anura; Pelobatidae
Source: the annotation of a GenBank genome assembly